Molecule: ribosomal RNA, 854 nt
Filed under: uncultured bacterium
Lineage: Bacteria
Description: SSU rRNA
Rfam family: Bacterial small subunit ribosomal RNA
Source: RNAcentral
CACGAAGGGCACAAGCGUUACUCAGAAUCACUGGGCGUAAAGAGUGCGUAGGCGGUAUAUUAAGUUAGAUGUGAAAGCCCGGGGCUCAACCUCGGAACUGCAUUUAAAACUAGUAUACUGGAGUUUGGUAGAGAGGAAUGGAAUUUCUGGUGAAGGGGUAAAAUCCGUAGAUAUCAGAAGGAACACCGAAAGCGAAGGCAGUUCCUUGGGCCAAUACUGACGCUGAUGCACGAAAGCGUGGGGAGCAAACAGGAUUAGAUACCCUGGUAGUCCACGCCCUAAACUAUGAUUACUAAUCGUCGGGGUUUUUACUUCGGUGGUACAGCUAACGCGUUAAGUAAUCCGCCUGGGUAGUACGGCCGCAAGGCUAAAACUUAAAGGAAUUGGCGGGGACCCGCACAAGCGGUGGAGCAUCUGGUUUAAUUCGAUACUAACCGAAGAACCUUACCAUCCCUUGCAUAUAUGUAUCGGAGUUUCUCAAAAUGAGCUCUUCCUUCGGGAGGCAUAAACAGGUGAUGCAUGGUUGUCGUCAGCUCGUGUCGUGAGAUGUUGGGUUAAGUCCCUUAACGAGCGAAACCCUCGUCUUUACUUGCUAACAGGUAAUGCUGAGAACUAUAAAGAGACUGCCCGUGAAAGCGGGAGGAAGGGGAGGAUGAUGUCAAAUCAUCAUGUCCUUUAUGGGAUGGGCUACACAGGUGCUACAAUGGAGUGUACAGAGUGUCGCAAUACAGUAAUGUGGAGCUAAUCACUAAAACACCCCUCAGUACGGAUUGAGGCUUGCAACUCAGCCUCAUGAAGCUGGAAUCGCUAGUAAUCGCGGAUCAGAAUGCCGCGGUGAAUACGUUCCCGGGUCU